Molecule: unclassified non-coding RNA, 301 nt
Filed under: uncultured fungus
Lineage: Eukaryota; Fungi
Description: partial contains small subunit ribosomal RNA, internal transcribed spacer 1, and 5.8S ribosomal RNA
Rfam family: Eukaryotic small subunit ribosomal RNA (bases 1-73)
Source: RNAcentral
GCAAACUUGGUCAUUUAGAGGAAGUAAAAGUCGUAACAAGGUUUCCGUAGGUGAACCUGCGGAAGGAUCAUUGCCGAGUUCAUGCCCUUCGGGGUAGAUCUCCCACCCUUGUGUAUUUAUACUCUGUUGCUUUGGCGGACAGCGUGACUUCGGUCACGCCAGGGUCCCUAGGGACCGUGAGGUCUCCUUGUCCGCCAGAGGGUAACCAAACUCAUAUUUUUUUUGUCGUCUGAGUGACUAUCUAAUAGUUAAAACUUUCAACAACGGAUCUCUUGGUUCUGGCAUCGAUGAAGAACGCAGC